This 441-nucleotide ribosomal RNA is filed under the name uncultured bacterium. RNAcentral's name for it is "partial 16S ribosomal RNA". It matches the Rfam family "Bacterial small subunit ribosomal RNA", at positions 338 to 795 of the family's 1533-position model. The record is from RNAcentral.
CCUACGGGUGGCAGCAGUGGGGAAUAUUGCACAAUGGGGGGAACCCUGAUGCAGCGACGCCGCGUGAGUGAAGAAGUAUUUCGGUAUGUAAAGCUCUGUCAGCAGGAAAAAAGAAAGCGGUAACUUGACAAAGAACCCCCGGCUAAAUACGUGCAAGCAGCAGCGGGAAAACGGAGGGGGCAAGCGUUAUCCGGAUUAAUUGGGUGUAAAGGGAGGGUAGACGGCAGGGCAAGUCUGGAGUGAAAGGCAGGGGCCCAACCCCUGGACUGCUCUGGAAACUGUCCGGCUGGAGUGCAGGAGAGGUAAGUGGAAUUCCUAGUGUAGCGGUGAAAUGCGUAGAUAUUAGGAGGAACACCAGGGGCGAAGGCGGCUUACUGGACUGUAACUGACGUUGAGGCUCGAAAGCGUGGGGAGCAAACAGGAUUAGAUACCCCAGUAGUC